UACGAAGGGGGCUAGCGUUGCUCGGAAUCACUGGGCGUAAAGCGCACGUAGGCGGAUUGCUAAGUCAGGGGUUAAAUCCUGGAGCUCAACUCCAGAACUGCCUUUGAUACUGGCGAUCUUGAGUCCGGGAGAGGUGAGUGGAACUGCGAGUGUAGAGGUGAAAUUCGUAGAUAUUCGCAAGAACACCAGUGGCGAAGGCGGCUCACUGGCCCGGUACUGACGCUGAGGUGCGAAAGCGUGGGGAGCAAACAGG
This 253-nucleotide ribosomal RNA is filed under the name uncultured bacterium. Its description in RNAcentral is "partial 16S ribosomal RNA". It matches the Rfam family "Bacterial small subunit ribosomal RNA", at positions 524 to 776 of the family's 1533-position model. The record is from RNAcentral.